Molecule: ribosomal RNA, 498 nt
Filed under: uncultured bacterium
Lineage: Bacteria
Description: partial 16S ribosomal RNA
Rfam family: Bacterial small subunit ribosomal RNA
Source: RNAcentral
AUUGAACGCUGGCGGCAUGCCUUACACAUGCAAGUCGAACGGUAACAGGUCUUCGGAUGCUGACGAGUGGCGAACGGGUGAGUAAUACAUCGGAACGUGCCUAGUAGUGGGGGAUAACUACUCGAAAGAGUGGCUAAUACCGCAUGAGAUCUACGGAUGAAAGCAGGGGAUCGCAAGACCUUGUGCUACUAGAGCGGCCGAUGGCAGAUUAGGUAGUUGGUGGGAUAAAAGCUUACCAAGCCGACGAUCUGUAGCUGGUCUGAGAGGACGAUCAGCCAGACUGGGAAUGAGACACGGCCCAGACUCCUACGGGAGGCAGCAGUGGGGAAUUUUGGACAAUGGGCGCAAGCCUGAUCCAGCAAUGCCGCGUGCAGGAUGAAGGCCUUCGGGUUGUAGACUGCUUUUGUACGGAACGAAAAGCCCUGGGUUAAUACCCUGGGGUCAUGACGGUACCGUAAGAAUAAGCACCGGCUAACUACGUGCCAGCAGCCGCAGUAA